This 484-nucleotide ribosomal RNA is filed under the name uncultured bacterium. RNAcentral describes it as "partial 16S ribosomal RNA". It matches the Rfam family "Bacterial small subunit ribosomal RNA", at positions 30 to 507 of the family's 1533-position model. The record is from RNAcentral.
AUUGAACGCUGGCGGAAUGCUUUACACAUGCAAGUCGAACGGCGGCACGGGGGCAACCCUGGUGGCGAGUGGCGAACGGGUGAGUAAUACAUCGGAACGUGCCCGGUCGUGGGGGAUAACGUAGCGAAAGUUACGCUAAUACCGCAUACGAUCUGAGGAUGAAAGCGGGGGACCUUCGGGCCUCGCGCGAUCGGAGCGGCCGAUGUCAGAUUAGGUAGUUGGUGGGGUAAAGGCCUACCAAGCCGACGAUCUGUAGCUGGUCUGAGAGGACGACCAGCCACACUGGGACUGAGACACGGCCCAGACUCCUACGGGAGGCAGCAGUGGGGAAUUUUGGACAAUGGGCGCAAGCCUGAUCCAGCCAUUCCGCGCGCAGGACGAAGGCCUUCGGGUUGUAAACUGCUUUUGUAUGGAACGAAAAGGCUCUGGCUAAUACCUGGGGCUCAUGACGGUACCGUAAGAAUAAGCACCGGCUAACUACGUG